AGGACGAACGCUGGCGGCGUGCUUAACACAUGCAAGUCGAACGGUGACGGAGAGCUUGCUCUCCUGAUCAGUGGCGAACGGGUGAGUAACACGUGGGCAACCUGCCCCUGACUUCGGGAUAACGCUUCGAAAGAGGUGCUAAUACCGGAUACGAGUCCUCUAGGCAUCUUGAGGACUGGAAAGUUUUUUCGGUCAGGGAUGGGCCCGCGGCCUAUCAGCUUUGGUUGGUGAGGUAAUGGCUCACCGAAGGCGACGACGGGUAGCCGGCCUGGAGACGGGCGACCGGGCCACGACGUGGACUGAGACACGGCCAGACGUCCGUAACGGGAGCAAGCGUAGUGGGAAUCGUGCGCAAGU
This 357-nucleotide ribosomal RNA is filed under the name uncultured soil bacterium. RNAcentral describes it as "bacterial SSU rRNA". It matches the Rfam family "Bacterial small subunit ribosomal RNA", at positions 26 to 373 of the family's 1533-position model. The record is from RNAcentral.